Molecule: microRNA precursor, 223 nt
Filed under: Hevea brasiliensis (rubber tree)
Lineage: Eukaryota; Viridiplantae; Streptophyta; Magnoliopsida; Malpighiales; Euphorbiaceae
Rfam family: MIR159 microRNA precursor family (bases 1-183)
Source: RNAcentral
AGCUCCCUUCAGUCCAAGCACAGAGAAGAGAAGGAUGAAAUUUAUCUCCCGCAUCAUUCAUACAUUCACAAUAGCAACCUUAAGUACUCUUUUUCUAUUGCGUUUGAAUGAAUGAGUCGGCAUAUAGUUCAAACCCUUCACCCGUCCAUGAGUGGACUGAAGGAAGCUCUCUUAAACCAUUUCUCAUAAUAUAUACAUGUGAAAAGAAAUCCAAACAAUGUAU